AGGGCGCACGGUGGAUGCCUUGGCACUAGAAGCCGAUGAAGGACGUGACUAACGACGAAAUGCUUUGGGGAGCUGUAAGUGAGCAAUGAUCCAGAGAUGUCCGAAUGGGGGAACCCGGCAGGUAAUGCCUGUCACUCAUUACUGUUAAGGUAAUGUAGAGGAAGACGCAGUGAACUGAAACAUCUAAGUAGCUGCAGGAAGAGAAAGCAAAAGCGAUUGCCUUAGUAGCGGCGAGCGAAACGGCAAGAGGGCAAACCGAAGAGUUUACUCUUCGGGGUUGUAGGACUGCAACGUGGACUUAAAGAUUAUAGAAGAACUACCUGGGAAGGUAGGCCAAAGAGAGUAAUAGCCUCGUAUUCGAAAUAGUCUUUAUACCUAGCAGUAUCCUGAGUACGGCGAGACACGAGAAAUCUCGUCGGAAUCUGGGAGGACCAUCUCCCAACCCUAAAUACUCUCUAGUGACCGAUAGUGAACCAGUACCGUGAGGGAAAGGUGAAAAGCACCCCGGGAGGGGAGUGAAAUAGAACCUGAAACCGUGUGCCUACAACAAGUUCGAGCCCGUUAAUGGGUGAGAGCGUGCCUUUUGUAGAAUGAACCGGCGAGUUACGAUAUGAUGCGAGGUUAAGUUGAAGAGACGGAGCCGUAGGGAAACCGAGUCUUAAUAGGGCGUAUUAGUAUCAUGUCGUAGACCCGAAACCAUGUGACCUACCCAUGAGCAGGUUGAAGGUGAGGUAAAACUCACUGGAGGACCGAACCAGGGCACGUUGAAAAGUGCUUGGAUGACUUGUGGGUAGCGGAGAAAUUCCAAACGAACUUGGAGAUAGCUGGUUCUCUCCGAAAUAGCUUUAGGGCUAGCCUUGAAAUAGAUUACCGGAGGUAAAGCACUGAAUUGGCUAGGGGCCGAGAGGUUACUGAACCUUAUCAAACUAAGAAUGCCGGAUAAUCGUUUUUCAGGAGUCAGACAGUGGGAGAUAAGUUUCAUUGUCAAAAGGGAAACAGCCCAGACCCACAGCUAAGGUCCCCAAGUAUAGUUAAGUGGAAAAGGAUGUGGAAUUGCACAGACAACCAGGAUGUUGGCUUAGAAGCAGCCACUCAUUAAAAGAGUGCGUAAUAGCUCACUGGUCGAGUGACCCUGCGCCGAAAAUUCAACGGGGCUAAACAAUGUACCGAAGCUUGGGAUUCUAAAGUAAUUUAGAGUGGUAGGAGAGCGUCGAAUAAGGGGUGAAGUCAGAGCGGAAGCGCUGGUGGACUUUAUUCGAGUGAGAAUGCCGGAAUGAGUAGCGAGAAUUAUGUGGGAAUCAUAAUGGCCGAAAAUCUAAGGUUUCUUGGGGAAGGUUCGUCCGCCCAAGGUAAGCCGGGAGCUAAGGCGAGGCCGAAAGGCGUAGUCGAUGCACAUACGGUUGAAAUUCCGUAGCCACCGAAACUUAAGCUAGAAGGACACUUGGAGCUAUCCAGACCCGGGCGUUGGUUGACCCGGGCGUAAGGGACCGAAAUUAGAGUAGGGAAGCACACUUAGCUGAAGGCGAGAAAAGCUUUGCGUAUAGAAACAGAUGCCCGUACCGCAAACCGACACAGGUGGACAGGAAGAGAAUUCUAAGGCCAGCGGGAGAAGGGUAGUUAAGGAACUCGGCAAAUUGACUCCGUAACUUCGGAAUAAGGAGUGCUCGAAAGAGCCGCAGAGAAUAGGCCCAGGCGACUGUUUAGCAAAAACACAGGUCUCUGCCAAAUCGAAAGAUGAAGUAUAGGGGCUGACACCUGCCCGGUGCCGGAAGGUUAAGAGGAGGAGUGAGAGCUCCGAAUUGAAGCCCCGGUAAACGGCGGCCGUAACUAUAACGGUCCUAAGGUAGCGAAAUUCCUUGUCGGGUAAGUUCCGACCCGCACGAAUGGUGUAACGAUCUGGGCACUGUCUCAACUACCCACCCGGCGAAAUUGUAGUACCGGUGAAGAUGCCGGUUACCUGCGGCAAGACGGAAAGACCCCAUGGAGCUUUACUGUAGCCUGAUAUUGGGUUUCGGAAAUCUAUGUACAGGAUAGGCGGGAGACUAGGAAACAUGAGCGUCAGCUUGUGUGGAGUCGAUGUUGGGAUACCGCCCUUAGGUUUCUGGAAUUCUAACCUGCGGCCGUGAAUCCGGUCGGGGGACAUUGUCAGGUGGGCAGUUUGACUGGGGCGGUCGCCUCCGAAAAGGUAACGGAGGCGCUCAAAGGUUAGCUCAGCACGGACGGAAACCGUGCCUCUGAGUGUAAACGCAAAAGCUAGCCUAACUGCGAGGGUGACGGCCCGAGCAGUAACGAAAGUUGGAGUUAGUGAUCCGGCGGUAUGUGAAUGGAAAUGCCGUCGCUCAACGGAUAAAAGCUACCCUGGGGAUAACAGGCUGAUCUCCCCCAAGAGUCCACAUCGACGGGGA
RNAcentral lists this ribosomal RNA (2405 nucleotides) under human gut metagenome. RNAcentral describes it as "bacterial LSU rRNA". It matches the Rfam family "Bacterial large subunit ribosomal RNA", at positions 14 to 2514 of the family's 2925-position model. The record is from RNAcentral.